This 45-nucleotide non-coding RNA is filed under the name Trichobilharzia regenti. Lineage: Eukaryota; Metazoa; Platyhelminthes; Trematoda; Strigeidida; Schistosomatidae. The record is from RNAcentral.
AUCCAGUUGACGAAUCCCAAAUAGGACGAAAUGCGCAUCCUGGAU